Molecule: unclassified non-coding RNA, 298 nt
Filed under: Metapochonia sp.
Lineage: Eukaryota; Fungi; Ascomycota; Sordariomycetes; Hypocreales; Clavicipitaceae
Description: partial contains small subunit ribosomal RNA, internal transcribed spacer 1, and 5.8S ribosomal RNA
Rfam family: Eukaryotic small subunit ribosomal RNA (bases 1-46)
Source: RNAcentral
AAGUCGUAACAAGGUCUCCGUUGGUGAACCAGCGGAGGGAUCAUUACCGAGUUUACAACUCCCAAACCCCCUGUGAACUUAUACCUUUACACCGUUGCUUCAGCGGGUCUUCGCCCCGGGACGCCAGGCCUCUCCUGCCCUUCUCCCCCUCGCGGGGGUGCUGGGUUGGCGGCCUGGCCCCCGGAACCAGGCGCCCGCUGGGGACCCAAACUCUCUGUAUUUUCUGAACUUUCGGCAUGUCUGAGUGGAAUCAUUACUGAAUGAAUCAAAACUUUCAACAACGGAUCUCUUGGUUCUG